RNAcentral lists this ribosomal RNA (307 nucleotides) under uncultured bacterium. Its description in RNAcentral is "bacterial SSU rRNA". It matches the Rfam family "Bacterial small subunit ribosomal RNA", at positions 28 to 334 of the family's 1533-position model. The record is from RNAcentral.
GAUGAACGCUAGCGGCAGGCCUAACACAUGCAAGUCGAGGGGUAACAGGGAAGCUUGCUUCCGCUGACGACCGGCGCACGGGUGCGUAACGCGUAUACAAUCUACCUUUUGCUGUGGGAUAGCCCAGAGAAAUUUGGAUUAACACCACAUGGUAUUAUAAUUCGGCAUCGUAUUAUAAUUAAAGGUUACGGCAAAAGAUGAGUAUGCGUCCUAUUAGCUAGAUGGUAAGGUAACGGCUUACCAUGGCAACGAUAGGUAGGGGUCCUGAGAGGGAGAUCCCCCACACUGGUACUGAGACACGGACCAG